GACGUAGGGGGCCAGCGUUGCUCGGAAUUACUGGGCGUAAAGGGUUCGUAGGCGGUGCGGCAAGUCGGAAGUGAAAUCUCUGGGCUUAACUCAGAGGCUGCUCCCGAAACUGCCGUGCUUGAGUGCGGGAGAGGCGAGUGGAAUUGCAGGUGUAGCGGUGAAAUGCGUAGAUAUUGGGAGGAACACCAGUGGCGAAGGCGGCUCGCUGGACCGGAACUGACGCUGAGGCGCGAAAGCGUGGGGAGCAAACAGG
This 253-nucleotide ribosomal RNA is filed under the name uncultured bacterium. Its description in RNAcentral is "partial 16S ribosomal RNA". It matches the Rfam family "Bacterial small subunit ribosomal RNA", at positions 524 to 776 of the family's 1533-position model. The record is from RNAcentral.